This 440-nucleotide ribosomal RNA is filed under the name uncultured bacterium. Its description in RNAcentral is "partial 16S ribosomal RNA". It matches the Rfam family "Bacterial small subunit ribosomal RNA", at positions 338 to 795 of the family's 1533-position model. The record is from RNAcentral.
CCUACGGGAGGCAGCAGUGGGGAAUAUUGCACAAUGGGGGAAACCCUGAUGCAGCGACGCCGCGUGAGUGAAGCAGUAUUUCGGUAUGUAAAGCUCUAUCAGCAGGGAAGAAAAUGACGGUACCUGAUUAAGAAGCCCCGGCUAACUACGUGCCAGCAGCCGCGGUAAUACGUAGGGGGCAAGCGUUAUCCGGAUUUACUGGGUGUAAAGGGAGCGUAGACGGCAGCACAAGUCUGGAGUGAAAUGCCGGGGCUUAACCCCGGACCUGCUUUGGAAACUGUGCCGCUAGAGUGCAGGAGAGGUAAGUGGAAUUCCUAGUGUAGCGGUGAAAUGCGUAGAUAUUAGGAGGAACACCAGUGGCGAAGGCGGCUUACUGGACUGUAACUGACGUUGAGGCUCGAAAGCGUGGGGAGCGAACAGGAUUAGAUACCCCAGUAGUC